UACGUAGGUGGCAAGCGUUGUCCGAAGUUACUGGGCGUAAAGCGCGCGUAGGCGGGGAACCAAGUCCGCUGUGAAAGCCCGAGGCUUAACCUCGGCGGGUCGGUGGAUACUGGUUCUCUUGAAGGUGCUAGGGGGAGAUGGAAUUACCGGUGUAGCGGUGAAAUGCGUAGAUAUCGGUAGGAACACCAGUGGCGAAGGCGGUCUCCUGGGGCAUUCUUGACGCUGAGGCGCGAAAGCUGGGGGAGCGAACGGG
This 253-nucleotide ribosomal RNA is filed under the name uncultured bacterium. RNAcentral describes it as "partial 16S ribosomal RNA". It matches the Rfam family "Bacterial small subunit ribosomal RNA", at positions 524 to 776 of the family's 1533-position model. The record is from RNAcentral.